This is a long non-coding RNA of Numida meleagris (helmeted guineafowl), 700 nucleotides long. RefSeq lists it as uncharacterized. The record is from RefSeq and is a predicted model, not a curated record. The transcript has 2 exons. NCBI's taxonomy places the organism in Eukaryota, Metazoa, Chordata, Aves, Galliformes, Numididae.
AAAGUGUUUUUUUCUACAGCAGGUGCUAUGCCACUGUAUUGGGAAUAUGAAGGGAUGGCUGAUAAAUCCCCUCUGAGGUCAGAGAUGGGAGAUUUAUCGUCAGUUGGAGGUAGGAGCCACUGGUUUGGACUCACACGUGAUCUGACCUGAAAGUACCCCAAGCAACAACUCUCGGCAGAAACAGAAAGACACUUCUGCUCUAGCAGGUGCAACACUAAUGGCAAAUGUGAUUUUGCCUUUGCCAUGUGACAUCUACUAUUUGCAACCACUAAACUGCUCACCACUUCCGGAGGAAAAGAUAAGGCUUCCAGACCCAAAUCUACCAAAAGAGGGGGGUGGUUUAAGGCAUUUUUAGACUGCUCAUUAGCAGAAGGUGAGGUUUGCCAUCCUAUGGGCUAAGGGUCUCAUCCUGUACGUCACAGUCACGCAAAGUCUAGCUGGAGACCUAUUUAUGUAUGGCCAGGAAGAUGGAGCCUUUCACUUGCAAGAACUACCGGGUUCUUAAUGCUGUCAGGAAGAAACCACCCCAUCCACACAUGACCACAUUUUCCCCUUCCUCCAUACCUGUGCAGUACUUCCCAGUAUUGAGGACUGCUAAACUCAUAACAUUUUACAGAGACGGGGACAACUUCACCCGGAACGGAACUGAAUGACAGAAGAAAAGAAGAGAGGUAUUGGAAAACUUCUGUUGCAGCGUGGG